GGGACAUCGUUGAAGUCAAGAUAAGGCCCUGAUCUCACCUCCUUCUCUUUCUUUCCUUUCUUCUCCAGGCCUUAGGCACCACUAUUGGUCACUAUUUUCAUCGAAAUUGAUCAAAAAAACUCAUCAGAUCCCCUAUUUUCUAGUUUUUUGUUUCUCUUUUUUCAACCAUCGGCACCUCCAUCUCUAGAUGCUAGACAUUUAGAUGGAUUAAACCUCUCUAUGACCCUCCGUGCUAAGCCAUGAUCACCGGUGAGUGGGG
RNAcentral lists this long non-coding RNA (259 nucleotides) under Elaeis guineensis (African oil palm). RNAcentral's name for it is "long non-coding RNA (EGUI_LNC048742)". Lineage: Eukaryota; Viridiplantae; Streptophyta; Magnoliopsida; Arecales; Arecaceae. The record is from RNAcentral.